Molecule: long non-coding RNA, 1496 nt
Filed under: Homo sapiens (human)
Lineage: Eukaryota; Metazoa; Chordata; Mammalia; Primates; Hominidae
Description: HSALNT0331754
Source: RNAcentral
ACGAGGGAGUAUCACCACCUGAGCUCCGCCUCCUGUCAGAACAGCGGCGGCAUUAGAUUCUCACAGGGGCACGAGCCCCACUGUGGACUGCGCAUGCGAAGGACUUAGGUUGCGUGCACCUUACGAGAAGGUAAUGGUAAAUAUAAUGGGCUUGAAUCGUCUUGAAAGCAUCCACUCCCCUGUCUUGGAAAAACUGUCUUCCACAAAACCAGUCCCUGGUGCCAAAAUGGUUGAGGACCUCUGCAUUAUAGGCAUCGACACUUGGGCUGCUGUGGCACAGAACGUCACACCACCUAGACGGCAUGCCCUCACAGCAACAGCGGCGCAGAUCCACUCCUGCCUACCACCUAAGCUCCCCAAGCCCCAGUGGGGUGUUCAACAAAAGCAGUACUGAAUGCAAAGUGGAGAACAGGACUUUGCGUUAAUUCUGAUAAAAAUGUUACAAACCAUUCUGUCGCAAUGUGACGGUUGACUUUGGCUGGUCAAAAAGACCUUCAGGGGAUGGAGACCAACAACAGACUGUUGCAGGCUGAACGCCAAGGCCACUUGGGCAGGAAGCCAAAGAAAUAUCCCAGAUGCCAUCAAGCAAAAACUGUUGGCCUGGCAGCAUCCACUAAUCAAGAGGAGGUUCCAUAGCAGGAGGUGUCCCCAUGCAAUAAAGAAAAUAAGAAUUGGAUUAGUAGCAGCCAUCUGUGCAGGGGAGACUGAGCUCCGCAACUCUGUGUCCAUGAGGCUUGGCUGGUUAACGACAAAUACUGAAACUCAGUCUUGGCCUGAACCUGGUGACCUGGAGCUGGUGGAAGGCCUGGUGAGAGACAGCUCAGACACUGGCUCACUCUUUCCUGGCUGAAGCCUGACUCCUGGUGGACAGAAACAUCAGCGACAGACUUCUAUUUUCAAACGUCUACAUACACAUCUUAGGGAAAGUUUAUUUAUCCCCUCAUUUUGUCAUUCAACAAAUAUGUACUGAUCACAUUCUACAUGCCAAGCAUGAUGGGAAUGUAAAAAUAAAUUUGAGAUGACGUCUUUGAGGAAAACGGCUUCUCUCUACUUUCGUUCGCAUUUUCUUGUGUUUCAAUAGUAGGGUAUAGUGUGGUAGUUUUCUUCAUGUAAGUCCUACUCCUCAGUUACAAUUCAGUUUCUUUCCAGGUUGCUACUGAGAAUGGAAUAUUCUUCUUGGUGUCUUUUCUGAUUACAGUAGUGGCCCGGAAGCUAUGGAUUUUCAUGGGUUGUUUCCAUGUGGCCACUUUACUGGACUGUUAGCUGUUCGGACUCUUCUUCUUGGCUCUCAAGGUAUACAAUCACACAGAAAGAAUUUUGUUUCUCCUAAAAUAGAGCAGUAGUAGUUCUCAUUUCAGAGAUCUGUGCACACUGGGUAUUCUCCACCCUUCUCGCCUGGCUUUUUAACCAGGGAAACUUCUGGUUGGUCCUGCUAGUGGGAGGGACUGGCAGGAGAUGAGGGCAAGAGAGAGAGGAUUCAGACCAUGCAUUUCCUU